This 476-nucleotide ribosomal RNA is filed under the name uncultured bacterium. Its description in RNAcentral is "bacterial SSU rRNA". It matches the Rfam family "Bacterial small subunit ribosomal RNA", at positions 335 to 799 of the family's 1533-position model. The record is from RNAcentral.
ACUCCUACGGGAGGCAGCAGUGGGGAAUAUUGCACAAUGGGCGCAAGCCUGAUGCAGCCAUGCCGCGUGUAUGAAGAAGGCCUUCGGGUUGUAAAGUACUUUCAGCAGUGAGGAAGGCGGGGUACGGUUAAUAGCGUGCUUGUUUGACGUUAGCUGCAGAAGAAGCACCGGCUAACUCCGUGCCAGCAGCCGCGGUAAUACGGAGGGUGCGAGCGUUAAUCGGAAUUACUGGGCGUAAAGCGCAUGCAGGUGGUUUGUUAAGUCAGAUGUGAAAGCCCGGGGCUCAACCUCGGAAUUGCAUUUGAAACUGGCAGACUAGAGUACUGUAGAGGGGGGUAGAAUUUCAGGUGUAGCGGUGAAAUGCGUAGAGAUCUGAAGGAAUACCGGUGGCGAAAGGCGGCCCCCUGGACAGAUACUGACACUCAGAUGCGAAAGCGUGGGGAGCAAACAGGAUUAGAUACCCUGGUAGGAUAGCG